GCAUUGUAAAGGCCUAUUAUGUAACGAUGUAGCGUGUAUACAGGCAACGUGGAGGAAAUACUUUCAUAACUAUAUGAUAUAGCUAAUGGAAAGUUAUUUCAAAAUGUCACAAAUUACAACUUUGAUGGUGAUAACAGUUUAUAUACAAAUGGUGCCAGGCAUUAUAAAUGAUAUAGUCCCAGUGAGGGUUCAAAAGGGAGAAAAAGUUAUCUUGAAUUGUUGCGGCUCUGGAGAUUCAAGAACCUGGUUAGGACCAGAUGUCAACAACGCAACUAAAGAAAAUGUACCUUACUUUUUAAAUAAUAAAAAAAACCGGAAACUGAACCAGUCCAAGUACUUUGUUCAGAAAAAUGACAGAAACUAUGAUUUGAUUAUUUUCGAUUUUCAAAACGAAAAUACUGGUUUUUAUGUAUGCAGAUUUUUGAAUAAUGGAGGAUUUCAUGAGACUAAGUUUAAUGUCUCUUUGAUAGGUUAGUUUACCAUAUUUUAUCUAGAAUAUUCACGAUGA
Molecule: long non-coding RNA, 508 nt
Organism: Mytilus californianus (California mussel)
Lineage: Eukaryota; Metazoa; Mollusca; Bivalvia; Mytilida; Mytilidae
Exons: 3
Source: RefSeq, a predicted model, not a curated record